CGAGUAAGACAGGUGACCGCAUGCGGCCUUGACCGUAUGAGGAAAGUCCGAGCUCCAUAGGGCAAGGGUGCCGGAUAACGUCCGGCGGAGGCGACUCCAGGGAAAGUGCAACAGAGAUAUACCGCCAGGCUUCGGCCUGGUAAGGAUGGAAAGGCGAGGUAAGAGCUCACCGGCGGCCCUGGCAACUUGGCCGUCCUGUAAACCCCACCCGGUGCAAGAUUGGAAUGAGAGCAUUCAAUGGCGGCCCGUCACGCUCUUGAUAAUCGCUUGAGCCCUUCGGCAACGAUGGGCCUAGAUAGAUGGUCACCCACGGCGCGUUCGCGCCCGGACAGAACUCGGCUUACGGCUUGCUCGCCAA
Molecule: RNase P RNA, 358 nt
Filed under: Oscillospiraceae bacterium
Lineage: Bacteria; Bacillati; Bacillota; Clostridia; Eubacteriales; Oscillospiraceae
Also listed under: 1 other name
Description: RNase P RNA component class A
Rfam family: Bacterial RNase P class A
About the family: Ribonuclease P (RNase P) is a ubiquitous endoribonuclease, found in archaea, bacteria and eukarya as well as chloroplasts and mitochondria. Its best characterised activity is the generation of mature 5'-ends of tRNAs by cleaving the 5'-leader elements of precursor-tRNAs. Cellular RNase Ps are ribonucleoproteins.
Source: RNAcentral